Molecule: ribosomal RNA, 517 nt
Filed under: uncultured Marinomonas sp.
Lineage: Bacteria; Pseudomonadati; Pseudomonadota; Gammaproteobacteria; Oceanospirillales; Oceanospirillaceae
Description: bacterial SSU rRNA
Rfam family: Bacterial small subunit ribosomal RNA
Source: RNAcentral
AGUCGAGCGGUAACAGGAAUUAGCUUGCUAAUUUGCUGACGAGCGGCGGACGGGUGAGUAACGCGUAGGAAUCUGCCUGGUAGUGGGGGACAACAUGUGGAAACGCAUGCUAAUACCGCAUACGCCCUACGGGGGAAAGGAGGGGAUCUUCGGACCUUUCGCUAUUAGAUGAGCCUGCGUGAGAUUAGCUAGUUGGUGAGGUAAAGGCUCACCAAGGCGACGAUCUCUAGCUGGUCUGAGAGGAUGAUCAGCCACACUGGGACUGAGACACGGCCCAGACUCCUACGGGAGGCAGCAGUGGGGAAUAUUGGACAAUGGGCGCAAGCCUGAUCCAGCCAUGCCGCGUGUGUGAAGAAGGCCUUAGGGUUGUAAAGCACUUUCAGGAGUGAGGAAGGGUGUACGGUUAAUACCCGUAUAUUUUGACGUUAGCUCCAGAAGAAGCACCGGCUAACUCUGUGCCAGCAGCCGCGGUAAUACAGAGGGUGCAAGCGUUAAUCGGAAUUACUGGGCGUAAAGC